GUGAGGAAUAUUGGUCAAUGGACGGAAGUCUGAACCAGCCAAGUAGCGUGCAGGAUGACGGCCCUAUGGGUUGUAAACUGCUUUUAUACAGGGAUAAAGUGAGGGACGUGUCCCUUUUUGUAGGUACUGUAUGAAUAAGGACCGGCUAAUUCCGUGCCAGCAGCCGCGGUAAUACGGAAGGUCCGGGCGUUAUCCGGAUUUAUUGGGUUUAAAGGGAGCGCAGGCUGAUGAUUAAGCGUGACGUGAAAUGUAGCCGCUCAACGGCUGAACUGCGUCGCGAACUGGUUAUCUUGAGUGAGUUCGAUGUUGGCGGAAUUCGUGGUGUAGCGGUGAAAUGCUUAGAUAUCACGAAGAACUCCGAUUGCGAAGGCAGCCAACAAGGCCUUUACUGACGCUAAAGCUCGAAGGUGCGGGUAUCGAACAGG
This 425-nucleotide ribosomal RNA is filed under the name uncultured rumen bacterium. Its description in RNAcentral is "bacterial SSU rRNA". It matches the Rfam family "Bacterial small subunit ribosomal RNA", at positions 354 to 776 of the family's 1533-position model. The record is from RNAcentral.